This 893-nucleotide ribosomal RNA is filed under the name uncultured Zetaproteobacteria bacterium. Its description in RNAcentral is "bacterial SSU rRNA". It matches the Rfam family "Bacterial small subunit ribosomal RNA", at positions 8 to 895 of the family's 1533-position model. The record is from RNAcentral. Lineage: Bacteria; Pseudomonadati; Pseudomonadota; Candidatius Mariprofundia.
AGAGUUUGAUCCUGGCUCAGAACGAACGCUGGCGGCAUGCCUAACACAUGCAAGUCGAACGGUAAUAGGUCUUCGGAUGCUGACGAGUGGCGCACGGGUGAGUAACGCGUGGAUAUCUGCCUAUUAGUGGGGGACAACUUGUGGAAACGCAAGCUAAUACCGCAUAAUCUCUACGGAGCAAAGCAGGGGACCCUUCGGGGCCUUGUGCUGAUAGAUGAGUCCGCGUCAGAUUAGCUAGUUGGUGGGGUAAGAGCCUACCAAGGCGAUGAUCUGUAGCUGGUUUGAGAGGAUGAUCAGUCACACUGGAACUGAGACACGGUCCAGACUCCUACGGGAGGCAGCAGUGGGGAAUUUUGCACAAUGGGCGCAAGCCUGAUGCAGCGAUGCCGCGUGUGGGAAGAAGGCCUUUGGGUUGUAAACCACUUUCAAUUGGGAAGAAGAGAUGAGAGUUAAUAGCUCUCUGAUUUGACGGUACCUUUAGAAGAAGCACCGGCUAAUUUCGUGCCAGCAGCCGCGGUAAUACGAAAGGUGCAAGCGUUGUUCGGAUUUACUGGGCGUAAAGAGAUCGUAGGUGGUUUGUUAAGUUGGAUGUGAAAUCCCGGGGCUCAACCUCGGAACUGCAUCCAAAACUGACAGACUUGAGUUCGGGAGGGGUAAGCGGAAUUCCGUGUGUAGCAGUGAAAUGCGUAGAUAUACGGAGGAACACCUGAGGCGAAGGCGGCUUACUGCACCGAUACUGACACUGAGGAUCGAAAGCGUGGGUAGCAAACAGGAUUAGAUACCCUGGUAGUCCACGCCCUAAACGAUGUCAACUAGCCGUUGCGGGUAUUGACCCCUGCAGUGGCGCAGCUAACGCGAUAAGUUGACCGCCUGGGGAGUACGGUCGCAAGAUU